RNAcentral lists this long non-coding RNA (684 nucleotides) under Sus scrofa (pig). RNAcentral's name for it is "lncRNA (ENSSSCG00045032184.1)". The record is from RNAcentral. Lineage: Eukaryota; Metazoa; Chordata; Mammalia; Artiodactyla; Suidae.
CAAGGUCAGGGCCACCUCGCGGUUCCGGAAGGAUCCCCCGGAGCCCCCAGAGCGAGGUGGACCGACACUGCCCUUCCUUCCUCCUCUGCAUCCUCAGCCUCACGUCCACGGACCUCACAUCGCCCGCUCCGUCGCUGGACCUCACAUUGUCCGCUCCGUGCCCGGACAUGGCGUCCACCAUCACCCUCCUCCCGGAGAGCAUCUCAUCCGCUCUGUGCCCGGACAAGGCGUCCACCAUCACCCUCCUCCCGGAGAGCAUUUUGUCACUGCAGGAAUUAGCUUCCAGCCAGAAGCCACGGUUCCCGGGCAGCGUGAGGCGCAGGGAGUUCCUGCCGCCGUCCAUCCGCGAGAGCCUGAGCUCCCUCAGUACCAUCACCUCGGAGGGCUCUGCAUCACUGAAGGAUGAAGGCGAUCAGGUGCAGAUAAUACGGCAGCCUGAGAAAGAAGACGUUGACCACACCGAAGGCUCGGUUUCAGGAGCCCAGGGGCCCGCGCUGGCCCAGCCACCCGAGCGGGGGCUCUUCGCCGCCGUCCCGCCUGUGGAGGACCCCCUAGAAUCCCUCCCGCUCCAGGGCGCGCUGCAGGUCGGAGGCCAGGACGUGUGGUCCAUGAGGGCCCAGCGUGUGCGCCCAGCUCCCACGGACUCCUGGAUGCUGGAGUCCACGGUCCUCACCAUCCCCGGGC